This 433-nucleotide ribosomal RNA is filed under the name uncultured bacterium. Its description in RNAcentral is "bacterial SSU rRNA". It matches the Rfam family "Bacterial small subunit ribosomal RNA", at positions 42 to 472 of the family's 1533-position model. The record is from RNAcentral.
UCAGGCCUAACACAUGCAAGUCGAGCGGAUGAGUGGAGCUUGCUCCAUGAUUCAGCGGCGGACGGGUGAGUAAUGCCUAGGAAUCUGCCUGGUAGUGGGGGAUAACGUUUCGAAAGGAACGCUAAUACCGCAUACGUCCUACGGGAGAAAGUGGGGGAUCUUCGGGCCUCACGCUAUCAGAUGAGCCUAGGUCGGAUUAGCUAGUUGGUGGGGUAAUGGCCCACCAAGGCGACGAUCCGUAACUGGUCUGAGAGGGUGAUCAGUCACACUGGAACUGAGACACGGUCCAGACUCCUACGGGAGGCAGCAGUGGGGAAUAUUGGACAAUGGGCGAAAGCCUGAUCCAGCCAUGCCGCGUGUGUGAAGAAGGUCUUCGGAUUGUAAAGCACUUGAAGUUGGGAGGAAGGGCAGUAAGUUAAUACCUGCUGUUUGA